Molecule: ribosomal RNA, 482 nt
Filed under: uncultured bacterium
Lineage: Bacteria
Description: partial 16S ribosomal RNA
Rfam family: Bacterial small subunit ribosomal RNA
Source: RNAcentral
GACGAACGCUGGCGGCGUGCUUAACACAUGCAAGUCGAACGAUGAAACCUAGCUUGCUAGGUCGAUUAGUGGCGAACGGGUGAGUAACACGUGACCAACCUGCCCCUUUCUCUGGGAUAACGCUCCGAAAGGAGUGCUAAUACCGGAUACUCACAUCGAGGCACAUGCCUUGAUGUGGAAAGUUUUUCGGAAAGGGAUGGAGUCGCGGCCUAUCAGCUUGUUGGUGAGGUAACGGCUCACCAAGGCGACGACGGGUAGCCGGCCUGAGAGGGCGACCGGCCACACUGGGACCGAGACACGGCCCAGACUCCUACGGGAGGCAGCAGUGGGGAAUAUUGCACAAUGGGCGCAAGCCUGAUGCAGCGACGCCGCGUGAGGGAUGAAGGUCUUCGGAUUGUAAACCUCUUUCAGUAGGGACGAAGCGAAAGUGACGGUACCUAAAGAAGAAGCACCGGCUAACUACGUGCCAGCCGCCGCGGUAA